This 359-nucleotide ribosomal RNA is filed under the name uncultured bacterium. Its description in RNAcentral is "bacterial SSU rRNA". It matches the Rfam family "Bacterial small subunit ribosomal RNA", at positions 29 to 386 of the family's 1533-position model. The record is from RNAcentral.
AUUGAACGCUGGCGGAAUGCUUUACACAUGCAAGUCGAGCGGCAGCGCGGGGCAACCUGGCGGCGAGCGGCGAACGGGUGAGUAAUGCAUCGGAACGUACCCAGUCGUGGGGGGAUAACUGUCCGAAAGGACAGCCAAUACCGCAUACGUCCUGAGGGAGAAAGCGGGGGAUCGCAAGACCUCGCGCGAUUGGAGCGGCCGAUGCCGGAUUAGCUAGUUGGUAGGGUAAAGGCCUACCAAGGCGACGAUCCGUAGCUGGUCUGAGAGGACGACCAGCCACACGUGGAACUGAGACACGGUCCAGACUCCUACGGGAGGCAGCAGGUGGGUAAUUUUGGACAAGUGGGACGAAAGCCUGA